GCUAGCGGCAGGCCUAACACAUGCAAGUCGAGGGGUAACAGGAAAGCUUGCUUUCGCUGACGACCGGCGCACGGGUGCGUAACGCGUAUGCAACUUGCCCUCAACUGGGAAAUAGCCCGGAGAAAUUCGGAUUAAUGCCCCAUAGUAUCAUAUCACUGCAUGGUGAUGUGUUUAAAGCUUCGGCGGUUGAGGAUGGGCAUGCGUCCUAUUAGCUUGUUGGUGAGGUAACGGCUCACCAAGGCUGCGAUAGGUAGGGGGCCUGAGAGGGUAAUCCCCCACACUGGUACUGAGACACGGACCAGACUCCUACGGGAGGCAGCAGUGAGGAAUAUUGGUCAAUGGACGAAAGUCUGAACCAGCCAUGCCGCGUGCAGGAUGACGGCCCUAUGGGUUGUAAACUGCUUUUAUAAGGGAAUAAACCCCCCGACGUGUCGGGGGCUGAAGGUACCUUACGAAUAAGGAUCGGCUAACUCCGUGCCAGCAGCCGCGGUAAUACGGAGGAUCCAAGCGUUAUCCGGAUUCAUUGGGUUUAAAGGGUCCGCAGGCGGGUUAUUAAGUCAGUGGUGAAAUCCUGCAGCUUAACUGUAGAACUGCCAUUGAUACUGGUAAUCUUGAGUGUGGUUGAAGUGGGCGGAAUGUGUCAUGUAGCG
Molecule: ribosomal RNA, 650 nt
Filed under: uncultured Bacteroidota bacterium
Lineage: Bacteria; Pseudomonadati; Bacteroidota
Description: bacterial SSU rRNA
Rfam family: Bacterial small subunit ribosomal RNA
Source: RNAcentral